GACGUAGGGGGCGAGCGUUGUCCGGAUUUAUUGGGCGUAAAGCGCGCGUAGGCGGUCCGGUAAGUCGGGUGUGAAAAUCCGGGGCUCAACCCCGGACCUGCAUUCGAUACUGCCGGGCUGGAGGCAGGUAGGGGAGAGUGGAAUUCCUGGUGUAGCGGUGAAAUGCGCAGAUAUCGUAAGGAAGACCAGUGGCGAAGGCGGGUCUCUGGACAGUUCCUGACGCUGAGGCACGAAGGUCAGGGGAGCAAACGGG
Molecule: ribosomal RNA, 253 nt
Filed under: uncultured bacterium
Lineage: Bacteria
Description: partial 16S ribosomal RNA
Rfam family: Bacterial small subunit ribosomal RNA
Source: RNAcentral